This is a non-coding RNA of Schizophyllum commune H4-8, 82 nucleotides long. Lineage: Eukaryota; Fungi; Basidiomycota; Agaricomycetes; Agaricales; Schizophyllaceae. The record is from Rfam.
GGCGUGAUAGCUCAGUUGGGAGAGCAGCAGACUGAAGAUUAGAGGUUUCUGAAGGUCCCGCGUUCAAUCCGCGGUCAUGCCA